RNAcentral lists this ribosomal RNA (486 nucleotides) under uncultured bacterium. RNAcentral's name for it is "partial 16S ribosomal RNA". It matches the Rfam family "Bacterial small subunit ribosomal RNA", at positions 28 to 507 of the family's 1533-position model. The record is from RNAcentral.
GAUGAACGCUAGCGGCAGGCUUAACACAUGCAAGUCGAGGGGCAGCGCGGGAUAGCAAUAUCCUGGCGGCGACCGGCGGAAGGGUGCGUAACGCGUGAGCGACAUGCCCGUUGCCCGGGGACAACCGGUGGAAACGCCGACUAAUCCCCGAUGGGAUAUUGUGCCGCAUGGCACGAUAUUGAAAGUUACGGCGGCGACGGAUUGGCUCGCGUCCGAUUAGCUGGUUGGCGGGGUAACGGCCCACCAAGGCUGCGAUCGGUAGGGGUUCUGAGAGGAAGGCCCCCCACAAUGGGACUGAGACACGGCCCAGACUCCUACGGGAGGCAGCAGUGAGGAAUAUUGGUCAAUGGGCGGAAGCCUGAACCAGCCAUGCCGCGUGCGGGAAGGAGGCCCUAUGGGCUGUGAACCGCUUUUGCCUGGGGGCAAUAAGGGCGUCGCGCACGUCCGAUGAGAGUACCAGGCGAAUAAGCAUCGGCUAACUCCGUG